This 253-nucleotide ribosomal RNA is filed under the name uncultured bacterium. Its description in RNAcentral is "partial 16S ribosomal RNA". It matches the Rfam family "Bacterial small subunit ribosomal RNA", at positions 524 to 776 of the family's 1533-position model. The record is from RNAcentral.
UACGGGGGGGGCAAGCGUUGUUCGGAAUUACUGGGCGUAAAGGGCUCGUAGGCGGCCAACUAAGUCAGACGUGAAAUCCCUCGGCUUAACCGGGGAACUGCGUCUGAUACUGGAUGGCUUGAGUUCGGGAGAGGGAUGCGGAAUUCCAGGUGUAGCGGUGAAAUGCGUAGAUAUCUGGAGGAACACCGGUGGCGAAGGCGGCAUCCUGGACCGACACUGACGCUGAGGCACGAAAGCGUGGGGAGCAAACAGG